Molecule: ribosomal RNA, 755 nt
Filed under: Aeromonas sp.
Lineage: Bacteria; Pseudomonadati; Pseudomonadota; Gammaproteobacteria; Aeromonadales; Aeromonadaceae
Description: partial 16S ribosomal RNA
Rfam family: Bacterial small subunit ribosomal RNA
Source: RNAcentral
UUGCCGGCGAUACGGCGGACGGCCUGUAGCUAAUGCCUGGNGAUCUGCCCAGNUCNANGGGGAUAACAGAUUGGAAACNACUGCUAAUACCGCAUACGCCCUACGGGGGAAAGGAGGGGACCUUCGGGCCUUUCGCGAUUGGAUGAACCCAGGUGGNAUUAGCUACUUGGUGGGGUAAUGGCUCACCAAGGCGACGAUCCCUAGCUGGUCUGANAGGAUGAUCAGCCACACUGNAACUGANACACGGUCCAGACUCCUACGGGAGGCAGNAGUGGGGAAUAUUGCACAAUGGGGNAAACCCUGAUGCANCCAUGCCGCGUGUGUGAAGAAGGCCUUCGGGUUGUAAAGCACUUUCAGCGAGGAGGAAAGGUUGGCAGCUAAUAUCUGUCAGCUGUGACGUUACUCGCAGAANAAGCACCGGCUAACUCCGUGCCAGCAGCCGCGGUAAUACGGAGGGUGCAAGCGUUAAUCGGAAUUACUGGGCGUAAAGCGCACGCAGGCGGUUGGAUAAGUUAGAUGUGAAAGCCCCCGGGCUCAACCUGGGAAUUGCAUUUAAAACUGUUCAGCUAGAGUCUUGUAGAGGGGGGUAGAAUUCCAGGUGUAGCGGUGAAAUGCGUAGAGAUCUGGAGGAAUACCGGUGGCGAAGGCGGCCCCCUGGACAAAGACUGACGCUCAGGUGCGAAAGCGUGGGGAGCAAACAGGAUUANAUACCCUGGUAGUCCACGCCNUAAACGAUGUCNAUUUGGAGGCUGUGU